This 87-nucleotide transfer RNA is filed under the name Camelus ferus (Wild Bactrian camel). The stretch from base 1 to 59 matches the Rfam family "tRNA". Rfam says of the family: Transfer RNA (tRNA) molecules are approximately 80 nucleotides in length. Lineage: Eukaryota; Metazoa; Chordata; Mammalia; Artiodactyla; Camelidae. The record is from Rfam by way of RNAcentral.
GUGGGUAUAGCUUAGUGGUAGAGCGCAUGCUUAGCAUGCAUGAUAUAGAUAUAUCUAUGCGAAUAUAUAUGAUUAUAUAUACCCAUA